CAGCCGCCGCGGUAAUACGUAGGUGGCAAGCGUUGUCCGGAAUUAUAGGGCGUAAAGCGCGCGCAGGCGGAUCAGUCAGUCUGUCUUAAAAGUUCGGGGCUUAACCCCGUGAUGGGACGGAAACUGCUGAUCUAGAGUAUCGGAGAGGAAAGUGGAAUUCCUAGUGUAGCGGUGAGAUGCGUAGAUAUUAGGAAGAACACCAGUGGCGAAGGCGACUUUCUGGACGAAAACUGACGCUGAGGCGCGAAAGCCAGGGGAGCGAACGGGAUUAGAUACCCCGGUAGUCCCUGUCUCUUAUACA
RNAcentral lists this ribosomal RNA (301 nucleotides) under uncultured bacterium. RNAcentral's name for it is "partial 16S ribosomal RNA". It matches the Rfam family "Bacterial small subunit ribosomal RNA", at positions 509 to 809 of the family's 1533-position model. The record is from RNAcentral.